This 558-nucleotide ribosomal RNA is filed under the name uncultured bacterium. Its description in RNAcentral is "bacterial SSU rRNA". It matches the Rfam family "Bacterial small subunit ribosomal RNA", at positions 74 to 615 of the family's 1533-position model. The record is from RNAcentral.
AGGAGCUUGCUUCUCUGGAUGAGUUGCGAACGGGUGAGUAACGCGUAGGUAACCUGCCUGGUAGUGGGGGAUAACUAUUGGAAACGAUAGCUAAUACCGCAUAACAGUAGAUAUUGCAUGAUAUCUGCUUGAAAGGUGCAAUUGCAUCACUACCAGAUGGACCUGCGUUGUAUUAGCUAGUUGGUGAGGUAACGGCUCACCAAGGCGACGAUACAUAGCCGACCUGAGAGGGUGAUCGGCUUACACACUGGGACUGAGACACGGCCCAGACUCCUACGGGAGGCAGCAGUAGGGAAUCUUCGGCAAUGGACGGAAGUCUGACCGAGCAACGCCGCGUGAGUGAAGAAGGUUUUCGGAUCGUAAAGCUCUGUUGUAAGAGAAGAACGAGUGUGAGAGUGGAAAGUUCACACUGUGACGGUAUCUUACCAGAAAGGGACGGCUAACUACGUGCCAGCAGCCGCGGUAAUACGUAGGUCCCGAGCGUUGUCCGGAUUUAUUGGGCGUAAAGCGAGCGCAGGCGGUUAGAUAAGUCUGAAGUUAAAGGCUGUGGCUUAACCA